Molecule: transfer RNA, 67 nt
Filed under: Marmota monax (woodchuck)
Lineage: Eukaryota; Metazoa; Chordata; Mammalia; Rodentia; Sciuridae
Description: tRNA.Undet
Source: RNAcentral
GGACUGUAGCUCAGUGGUAGAGCACUCGCUAGCAUGUGUGAGGCACUGGGUUCGAUCCUCAGCACCA